This 305-nucleotide ribosomal RNA is filed under the name uncultured bacterium. RNAcentral's name for it is "bacterial SSU rRNA". It matches the Rfam family "Bacterial small subunit ribosomal RNA", at positions 335 to 636 of the family's 1533-position model. The record is from RNAcentral.
AGUCCUACGGGGGGCAGCAGUGAGGAAUAUUGGUCAAUGGGCGCGAGCCUGAACCAGCCAAGUCGCGUGAGGGAGGACGGCCCUACGGGUUGUAAACCUCUCUUGCCGGGGAGCAACGGGCGUCACGUGUGGCGCCACUGAGAGUACCCGGAGAAAAAGCAUCGGCUAACUCCGUGCCAGCAGCCGCGGUAAUACGGAGGAUGCGAGCGUUAUCAGGAUUUACUGGGUGUAAAGGGAGCGCAGGCGGCACGGCAAGCCUGAUGUGAAAGCCCGCGGCCCAACCGCGGGACUGCAUUGGGAACUAC